UGCAUGCACUACUGUAAGUCACUUUGGAUAAAAGGGUUUGCUAAACGUCAUAUG
Non-coding RNA from Salmo salar (Atlantic salmon), 54 nucleotides. The record is from Rfam. NCBI's taxonomy places the organism in Eukaryota, Metazoa, Chordata, Actinopteri, Salmoniformes, Salmonidae.